Molecule: ribosomal RNA, 468 nt
Filed under: uncultured bacterium
Lineage: Bacteria
Description: partial 16S ribosomal RNA
Rfam family: Bacterial small subunit ribosomal RNA
Source: RNAcentral
GACGAACGCUGGCGGCGUGCUUAACACAUGCAAGUCGAACGGAAAGGCACUGCUUUUGUGGGGGGCUAGAGUGGCGAAGGGGAGAGUAACACGGGAGUAACCUGCCCUUGACUGUGGGAUAACGUCAGGAAACGGGGGAUAAUACCGGAUAGGAGCUCCUGCUGCAUGGUGGGGGUAGGAAAGUUUCGGCGGUUGGGGAUGGACUCGCGGCUUAUCAGCUUGUUGGUGGGGUAGUGGCUUACCAAGGCUUUGACGGGUAGCCGGCCUGAGAGGGUGACCGGCCACAUUGGGACUGAGGUACGCCCCAGACUCCUACGGGAGGCAGCGGUGGGGAAUAUUGCACAAUGGGCGGAAGCCUGCUGCAGCGACGCCGCGUUCGGGAUGACGGCCUUCGGGUUGUAAACCGCUUUCGCCUGUGACGAAGCGUGAGUGACGGUAAUGGGUAAAGAAGCACCGGCUAACUACGUG